AAGGGGUUGCAAUAAACUGGUGGCUGCGACUGUUUAAUAAAAACACAGCACUCUGCAAACACGAAAGUGGACGUAUAGGGUGUGACGCCUGCCCGGUGCCGGAAGAUUAAAUGAUGGGGUGCAAGCUCUUGAUUGAAGUCCCGGUAAACGGCGGCCGUAACUAUAACGGUCCUAAGGUAGCGAAAUUCCUUGUCGGGUAAGUUCCGACCUGCACGAAUGGCGUAACGAUGGCCACACUGUCUCCUCCCGAGACUCAGCGAAGUUGAAGUGUUUGUGAUGAUGCAAUCUACCCGCGGCUAGACGGAAAGACCCCAUGAACCUUUACUGUAGCUUUGCAUUGGACUUUGAACCGAUCUGUGUAGGAUAGGUGGGAGGCUAUGAAACCGGAACGCUAGUUUCGGUGGAGCCGUCCUUGAAAUACCACCCUGGUUUGUUUGAGGUUCUAACCUUGGCCCGUGAUCCGGGUCGGGGACAGUGCAUGGUAGGCAGUUUGACUGGGGCGGUCUCCUCCCAAAGCGUAACGGAGGAGUACGAAGGUACGCUAGGUACGGUCGGAAAUCGUGCUGAUAGUGCAAUGGCAUAAGCGUGCUUAACUGCGAGACCGACAAGUCGAGCAGGUGCGAAAGCAGGUCAUAGUGAUCCGGUGGUUCUGUAUGGAAGGGCCAUCGCUCAACGGAUAAAAGGUACUCUGGGGAUAACAGGCUGAUACCGCCCAAGAGUUCAUAUCGACGGCGGUGUUUGGCACCUCGAUGUCGGCUCAUCUCAUCCUGGGGCUGUAGCCGGUCCCAAGGGUAUGGCUGUUCGCCAUUUAAAGAGGUACGUGAGCUGGGUUUAAAACGUCGUGAGACAGUUUGGUCCCUAUCUGCCGUGGGCGUUGGAUAUUUGAAGGGGGCUGCUCCUAGUACGAGAGGACCGGAGUGGACGAACCUCUGGUGUACCGGUUGUCACGCCAGUGGCAUCGCCGGGUAGCUAUGUUCGGAAGAGAUAACCGCUGAAAGCAUCUAAGCGGGAAACUCGCCUUAAGAUGAGAUAUCCCUGGGGACUAGAUCCCCUUGAAGGGUCGUUCGAGACCAGGACGUUGAUAGGUCAGGUGUGUAAGCGCAGUAAUGCGUUCAGCUAACUGAUACUAAUUGCCCGUAAGGCUUGAUCC
This 1150-nucleotide ribosomal RNA is filed under the name Burkholderia lata. RNAcentral's name for it is "23S ribosomal RNA (partial)". It matches the Rfam family "Bacterial large subunit ribosomal RNA", at positions 1771 to 2925 of the family's 2925-position model. Lineage: Bacteria; Pseudomonadati; Pseudomonadota; Betaproteobacteria; Burkholderiales; Burkholderiaceae. RNAcentral also lists the same sequence under 1 other name. The record is from RNAcentral.